UAGAAGAGAAAAAAUAAAAACCAGCAGC
This 28-nucleotide non-coding RNA is filed under the name Bombyx mori (domestic silkworm). Lineage: Eukaryota; Metazoa; Arthropoda; Insecta; Lepidoptera; Bombycidae. The record is from RNAcentral.